AAUCACGGCGAUGCGAGCGGUCCGCCGCCCGCGACGUCGUGAGAAGUCCACUGAACCUUAUCAUUUAGAGGAAGGAGAAGUCGUAACAAGGUUUCUGUAGGUGAACCUGCGGAAGGAUCAUUG
Molecule: ribosomal RNA, 123 nt
Filed under: Calamus conirostris
Lineage: Eukaryota; Viridiplantae; Streptophyta; Magnoliopsida; Arecales; Arecaceae
Description: partial 18S ribosomal RNA
Rfam family: Eukaryotic small subunit ribosomal RNA
Source: RNAcentral